This 700-nucleotide ribosomal RNA is filed under the name uncultured bacterium. RNAcentral describes it as "bacterial SSU rRNA". It matches the Rfam family "Bacterial small subunit ribosomal RNA", at positions 810 to 1507 of the family's 1533-position model. The record is from RNAcentral.
UGGGAACUAGAUGUGGGGGCCAUUCCACGGCUUCCGUGUCGCAGCUAACGCAUUAAGUUCCCCGCCUGGGGAGUACGGCCGCAAGGCUAAAACUCAAAGGAAUUGACGGGGGCCCGCACAAGCGGCGGAGCAUGCGGAUUAAUUCGAUGCAACGCGAAGAACCUUACCAAGGCUUGACAUAUACGAGAACGCUGCAGAAAUGUAGAACUCUUUGGACACUCGUAUACAGGUGGUGCAUGGUUGUCGUCAGCUCGUGUCGUGAGAUGUUGGGUUAAGUCCCGCAACGAGCGCAACCCUCGUUCUAUGUUGCCAGCACGUGAUGGUGGGAACUCAUAGGAGACUGCCGGGGUCAACUCGGAGGAAGGUGGGGAUGACGUCAAAUCAUCAUGCCCCUUAUGUCUUGGGCUUCACGCAUGCUACAAUGGCCGGUACAAAGGGCUGCAAUACCGUAAGGUGGAGCGAAUCCCAAAAAGCCGGUCUCAGUUCGGAUUGAGGUCUGCAACUCGACCUCAUGAAGUCGGAGUCGCUAGUAAUCGUGGAUCAGCAACGCCACGGUGAAUACGUUCCCGGGCCUUGUACACACCGCCCGUCAAGUCAUGAAAGUCGGUAACACCCGAAGCCAGUGGCCCAACCGUAAGGAGGGAGCUGUCGAAGGUGGGAUCGGUGAUUAGGACUAAGUCGUAACAAGGUAACCAAGGGC